GACAAACGCUGGCGGCAUGCCUAACACAUGCAAGUCGAACGGACAGAACAGGGAAGCUUUUCGGAGUGGAACUGGAAAGUUAGUGGCGGAUGGGUGAGUAACGCGUGGACAACCUACCUUGUAAAGGGGAAUAACCUCGAGAAAUCGAAGCUAAUACCCCAUAAUAACCUUGCUUCGCAUGAAGUAAGGAGGAAAGGCGGCCUUAGCGCUGUCGAUACAAGAUGGUCCGCGUCUGAUUAGCUAGUUGGUGAGGUAAAGGCUCACCAAGGCGACGAUCAGUAGCCGGCCUGAGAGGGUGAACGGCCACAUUGGGACUGAGACACGGCCCAAACUCCUACGGGAGGCAGCAGUGGGGAAUCUUCCGCAAUGGGCGAAAGCCUGACGGAGCAAUGCCGCGUGAGUGAAGAAGGCCUUCGGGUUGUAAAACUCUGUCCUUAUCGAAGAGAGAGUGUUGUAGUAACUGACAAUACUAGGACGGUAGAUGAGGAGGAAGCCCCGGCUAACUAUGUG
RNAcentral lists this ribosomal RNA (510 nucleotides) under uncultured bacterium. RNAcentral describes it as "partial 16S ribosomal RNA". It matches the Rfam family "Bacterial small subunit ribosomal RNA", at positions 28 to 507 of the family's 1533-position model. The record is from RNAcentral.